CUAAUUAAGCUCUUUUGUCACGGCCUUAGCGUCCGUGCGGCGCCCGCCUUUCUGCUCGAAGACGGGCAAGCCUUCGUCCCUAUUACUAGUCCGGACCUUCACGUCUUACGACUAAGUAUGCAAAGAAAAAUGACAAAGAGAAAGAGGCAAAGAUUCUCUCAAAAAGCUAAGUACUACACUACUUAGAAAAUGAGAAUUACAACUCACAUACACACUCCCUCUUGUGUGUUUUGACCUUAGCCAAACCCCACUACUUAUAUGUUCCUAGAUACAAUGAAUCUAGACACACACUAACUCUCUCAUUAUGAGACAUAUGAACUCACUCUCAUAAUGAGCCAUAAGCUCAAGAGUCAUCCCAUAACUCAUGAGAGUUUCAUAACCCUUGAGUUUUUCAUAGCGGGUUGGGUUCGGGUCUCUUUAACGACCCGCUCCGCUAGCGAAAUUGGGUCAUAGUCAAGGAGAAGUCAGCGGAAAAUAUUUUGUCUGUGACAUUCUCCCCCACCUAACGCGCAGAUACCCUCGUCGUGCGCCGAGUCGCUCCCGGUCCGCAUAGCCUUCCGCGAGGUCCGUCGUGCCUUCGCGCGCGAUCGGCCCCUUGCCUUGCUCCCAAUGUCCGCAUCUGUCUCCGCUCCAGCACCUAGUGUCUUGUCCCUCUUAGCAAGUGCACCAGCGAGCCUGCUAUGCGAAGAAUUCGCCGGAUGUGCAUGUCCUCCGCGACACGCACGCGCACUCUGCCAAGCUGUAGAACGCCCCGGGUGUGCAUGUCCUCCGCGACACGCGCGCGUACUCCGCCAAGCCGCUGAACGCCCCGAGUGUGCAUGUCCUCUGCGACACGCACGUGCACUCCGCCAAGCUGCAGAACGCCUCUUGGUCCUCGCAGGCUCCUUGGCAAAAUGACUUGCACUUUGCUUGGACACUGGCCGCUCUAGUGCCGCAUGAGACUCGAUAGUCUCAUCGCUGCUCAGGCCCUCCUCCUCGAGGUCCUUAGCCUUUCCGCGCUUCACCUCCUCGUAAAGCUGCAGGGUUAUAAGGGUCUGAUCCUUCGUCGAUGGGGCUGAACUCUGGUUACGCCCCUUUGCGUCCCCUGUAUCAUGACAAUCUCCCUCACCUUUGGCCUUGCUCGCCUUAGGUGAUUUGCUAUGAUCACUCUCGGUCCGCUCGGGUAGUGCCACCCUCGUCUUGAGGACCUCAACCUCCUUGACCUGGGCACCGAUGUCCUGAAGCAGCACAUCUCGCGCAUCCCGCUCGUCGUUGCGACGGGCAAGAUUCACCUUGAACUGCUCCAGACGAUGGCGGAAUGUUGCCAUAGCUGCAACAAUGUCCUUCUCCAUCAAAUGAAACCCCUCAUCCAACAAACUCACAGUUUGUAGAAACACAGAGGGUUGCUCCCCCAUUCUCGUCGUAACAUCCUCCUGCAGCCCCGCACGGUACUUCAAGGAUGUGGCCUCCAUCGCGAGUGCCUGCGACUCCUUGCUCCCUUCCCGCUUGGUCUGCAUCAAAGGCUCAUCAGUUACGUCGAUGACAGCAUGCAACAUCUGAUGACGACAUGGUUCCUCCUUGAACCGGCUCUUAUACCAACUGUCACGGCCUUGCUGUUCUGUUCGCAAAGUCCAUGCGGCGCCCGUCUUCCUACUCGAAGAUGGGCAAGCCUUCGUCCCUAUUGCUAGUCCGGGUUUCGCGUCUACGAUUAAGUAUGUAAAGGAAAAUGACAAAGAGAAAGAGGCAGAGGUUCUCUCAAAAAGCUAAGUACUACACUACUUAGAAAAUGAGAAUUAAAACUCACAUACACACUCUCUCUUGUGUGUUUUGACCUUAGCCAAACCCUACUACUUAUAUGUUCCUAGAUACAAUAAACCUAGACACACACUAACUCUCUCAUUAUGAGACACAUUAACUCACUCUCAUAAUAAGCCAUAAGCCCAAGAGUCAUCCCAUAACUCAUGAGAGUUUCAUAACCCUUGAGUUUCC
This 1968-nucleotide long non-coding RNA is filed under the name Ananas comosus (pineapple). Its description in RNAcentral is "long non-coding RNA (ACOM_LNC006782)". Lineage: Eukaryota; Viridiplantae; Streptophyta; Magnoliopsida; Poales; Bromeliaceae. The record is from RNAcentral.